RNAcentral lists this RNase P RNA (333 nucleotides) under Paraburkholderia fungorum. Its description in RNAcentral is "RNase P RNA component class A". It matches the Rfam family "Bacterial RNase P class A". Rfam says of the family: Ribonuclease P (RNase P) is a ubiquitous endoribonuclease, found in archaea, bacteria and eukarya as well as chloroplasts and mitochondria. Its best characterised activity is the generation of mature 5'-ends of tRNAs by cleaving the 5'-leader elements of precursor-tRNAs. The record is from RNAcentral. Lineage: Bacteria; Pseudomonadati; Pseudomonadota; Betaproteobacteria; Burkholderiales; Burkholderiaceae.
AAAGCAGGCCAGGCAGUCGCGGCCUCUGCGGUUUCGGCCAAAGAGGGCGAGGAAAGUCCGGACUCCAUAGGGCAGGGUGAUGGCUAACGGCCAUCCGUGGCGACACGCGGAACAGGGCAACAGAAAGCAAACCGCCGAUGGCCCGGCGCAAGCCGGGAUCAGGUAAGGGUGAAACGGUGCGGUAAGAGCGCACCGCGGCUGCUGCAAGGCAGACCGGCACGGUAACCUCCACCCGGAGCAAUUCCAAGUAGGCAGGCUAGCAUCUUCGAGAUGCAGGACGGGGCCCCGGACGCGGCGCGUGCACAGAAUCCGGCUUAUCGGCUUGCUUUGCCA